AACGAACGCUGGCGGCAGGCCUAACACAUGCAAGUCGAGCGGACCCUUCGGGGUUAGCGGCGGACGGGUGAGUAACGCGUGGGAAUAUGCCCUUCUCUACGGAAUAGUCCUGGGAAACUGGGGGUAAUACCGUAUACGCCCUUUGGGGGAAAGAUUUAUCGGGGAAGGAUUAGCCCGCGUUGGAUUAGGUAGUUGGUGGGGUAAUGGCCUACCAAGCCGACGAUCCAUAGCUGGUUUGAGAGGAUGAUCAGCCACACUGGGACUGAGACACGGCCCAGACUCCUACGGGAGGCAGCAGUGGGGAAUCUUAGACAAUGGGGGCAACCCUGAUCUAGCCAUGCCGCGUGAGUGAUGAAGGCCUUAGGGUUGUAAAGCGCUUUCAGCUGGGAAGAUAAUGACGGUACCAGCAGAAGAAGCCCCGGCUAACUCCGUG
Molecule: ribosomal RNA, 433 nt
Filed under: uncultured bacterium
Lineage: Bacteria
Description: partial 16S ribosomal RNA
Rfam family: Bacterial small subunit ribosomal RNA
Source: RNAcentral